RNAcentral lists this long non-coding RNA (7333 nucleotides) under Xyrichtys novacula (pearly razorfish). The record is from RNAcentral. Lineage: Eukaryota; Metazoa; Chordata; Actinopteri; Labriformes; Labridae.
AGCCCUUGAAGUUUGGGUUUGAUGUAUGAGAGCUGUAGGCUUUAGGGAUGAAAUUCAGUUAUAUGUUUUUUUUCCAUGUGGUUGAAACUUCAGGGCUUUUCUUGCCAUCACAUUUGAUGCACGGUCUUGAUGUUAUGGAUUUUCAGCUUUCCUCAUCUACAGUUUCAUUUUAUCUCAGCGUGUUUGUGUCUUUGUGUGUGUUCCAGCCAGCGCAGUGAGCCAGGUGUGCCUGGGAGUCCCUCACUUCAGAGGCCAAAAGUUCAAAGGUCAGCUCCCUCUACCGGAUCUCUCCACGGGGUCUAAACUCUUCUAAGGAGCAGAGAUAAAGGCACCAUCUGAUCCUCAGCGUCACUCGGGGCCUGAGCUCUGACAGAGAUGAAAGCAGAGAAGCUCGUUGGAAAUGACUUUCUUGUCGCUGCUUCAACUUUUAAUUUCCUUAAUUGAUUUUCCCCUUUCCCGCAGAGGUAAGGGUUUGCAGACACAAAACUAAUUGAUUUCAAAUUUUAAUCCCUCUUACCGCUGAGCCAUCGAGGGGCCUCUCUGCCAUCGAUCUCCAAUCCAUCCAAACUCAAUUAAAGUGCUUAAAGAGCGAUGGCAGGAGGCGGAGGAGCAGAAGGACCUCUCUCCUCUUGGGUUUCAUCUCUCUACUUCCAAGAGUCAGAUGUUGCUCUGCUACAUUUAUUAUCUAUUUAAUCUUACAGCCCUGAUAGAUGGUUUUAUAUACCCAGUGCAUUUUCAGUUAUGUUUGUAAUACUUGAAUGCUAUCUUUUUAUGAGUGUUUUAUCUUUUUCAAACUGCUUGAUGCUUGAUGUGGCUCAUCUGACUUUACUGUGCCUGUUAAAAACGUUCUUUUCUGAAAUGCAUGUGGCGCCUCUGCAGGAUUGUCUCUUUAAAAAAGGUUGUUGAUUCGGCGAAAUAGUUACUUUCACAAACUGUCAGUUGUAAACAAGCCUUUACGGAGAAUCUGUAGCCUCUCAGUAUCCGUGCAGUGAUCUGAGUGUAACGAUAAUGAGGCACUGUGCUGAUUGGCAGCUGAGGAGGAAGGGUCCCACUGAGCAGUAGAUGGCUAUUAGACAUCUAAUUUUUUUUAGACCUAAUUUCAACCGUCUAGAUUCUGUAGAUUUUUAGACGGAAUUUAGACAUUGCACUUCAACCGAUUAUAUGAUAACUAUUUAUUUCAAAAAGUAACUGUGAGUUGCAUGACUGAUCUCCAAGUAUUUAACCAAAAUAAUUGAUAGUUAUUGAGCAAUAGACAGUGUAGUAGAGAUAUAGCCCAAAUUCAGUCUAAACUUGGUCUAGACGUCUAAAAAGCUUUCAAUUUUAUACCUAGCCUGACUUUAGCUAGUCAUCUAGGCUACAUUUAGACGUCAAUUAGACUUCUUUUAGACCAAAUAAUGCUCAUUGGGGUGCAGACAAAUGCGGAUUCGGAAAAACAUAGAAUGAACAUGACAAGUGCUUCAGGAAAAUCCUUGCUAAUAUGCAACACAAAUAAUCCAGGAUCUGAGCCUGAAGAGGAAGACACAACUGUUGACUUAUUAUCAUUGGUAUCAUUGGAUUGGUAAUGUCAGAGGGUAACAGUUUGACUCACUUGCCAAAUACACGUUACACUGCAUUUUGCACCACAAUCUUGGAUGUUUUAGCUCAUCCUUAAAUUGGAUAUUUGCAUGCAAGUGCCACAAACAGUUUGCUCUUGGACAUUGUUUCUCAACACAAACUCCAUUAACCCCCUUUUGAAGCUGGCAAAAAAUCCUGCACAGAGGUCCUUAAUAUUGCAAACCUGAAAAUCUGCUCAUACUGAAAAUUCCAUGUGACCUGUCAUACCGCAGAUAUUGAAGAAAAGAUGAUGGUGAUUGGGUUUGUUUCAAAGAUACAUAAGAAUAUUAUCUCCAGCAAAAUCAAAACUGUCUGUCAGAGUGUUCUACAGUAUGUUCUCUGUGUGGACGUGUGGAACUGUGGAACUGUACCACACCCUAAACAGACAAACAGAUUAUUUCCUCCCUCCGGCAGACUCGGUAGAUUUUUUUCUGAAAUGUUUUUUUUUUUUUUUUAAUGAUGUCGUGUUUUAGCGAGGUUAACUUUAUAGCAGUCUGAGGGCUUUGAAAGUCCUUGUGGACUCUAGCAGCUUUGGAGUAAAAUGAAAUUGAAGCGGUCCUCUCUCGCACUUUCACUUGAACUUCAAAGGCUCUGAACUUUGGCAGAGGGGAGGGCAUUGAAAUGAAUUGUUAAAAAUAUCCUACUGCAGUAGUUUAUAAUGAACAUUAUGUGAGUGUGUGCAUGUGUAUGUGUGUGUGUGUGUGUGUGUGCGUGCUUGUGUGUGUAUGCAUGGAGAAGCUGACAUCAGCACUUGGGGGAAAGAUUUAUGACUGUGUAAAUAAGGGUGGGGUUCUGGCCCAAAUGUAGAGUGUGUGGGUCACAUCCCCAUAUGAGAGUCUCAGGUUAUCCCAAAGAGACAGAUCUCACCUCAGACCCAUUUAUUCCCAUAUAAGCAACAUUCACAAAGACAUAGGCCUACUAAGGACUUGGUGGUUUUUGUAGACCUCAGAUUUAGGUUCUGGCUCAUAUCAGGCACUUUUAAGUCAGGCUUGUUUGACUUAAAUUUUUCUUUUUUUAAUUUGUCAUAACUCACUCUUGUUUUGCUGGAUUUCAGGCUGUCUUUCCUCCUUUUGUCAUCUUUUCUCAGCUUUAAUUUGGUCAGCCGUUUUGUGCAUUUGAUGUUAACGCUAGAUAAGUUGUUCAAAUAUUAAUAAAAACCUUAAACAAUCAGUCCAAUCAGGAUCAUGAGGAAAAGCAAGAUGAGGACGGUGACUUUGUCAACUUCACAAAGUGUUAAAGACAUGUUUUAGCUUUUGGACUGAAACUUAAAAUUAGUUAAAACUUACCAACCUCUUCUGCAUUUCAUUCCAAAUCUCGUGUGAGAAUUUACCUGAUUCUGAGUCAGUCACCUGUUAUGCAUUAGAAGAUUUUGUUUUGACCAUUUGCUGUCGUACAUGUAGGCUCCUCAAUUCGCCUCUGUGCUUUUAUUUCAAAAGGACGUAUACGACGCUUUAUGUAGAUUCAGAACCAAUUAUUUUAUCAACAGCUAAAAAUACAAGUAGAAAUGUCAAUAUUCAAAUCAUUAUGCAUUUUAUGACCCUCCACUAAUUCAGGCUUUCUAGCUUUGAUGUUAAACUGUUAAGAAGUUUAUUCCUGGAGAAUAAGUGGGUCCCUAUGAAGUUUUCCAAAGUAUUCCAGGUGUCUGCCAAGUUGCUCACCAUCCUCCCAUCUCCUUGAGUCCCUGGUUGAGUGGAGCAUCUAUCUUGAUGGAUUUGGGCUCAGAUUGGGAUCGACAGGGCCAUUUUGUCCCACAGUAUAAGUGCUGUCUCCAGGAUUACCCCUGUCCUCAAGGCUGACUCCAACGUUAAUGGCACAGCAGCUGAAGGAUGACAACCAUAACAGCAGCACAUGCCCGGUAUUAUCUGGGUUCAGUCAUGUCCAGAAGUGGAUAGGUUGGCGUGAAUACACAUGUGUUUCUGAGAAUACCAGCGACCCUCUGAUCCUGAUUGCAGUUCUCAUUAUAAAACAAGAGGAUACCAUCUCAUAUGGAAACCAUCAAAUCAUGGCCGGGCAGAGCAGUUGGCUCAAACUUUGUGGCUGACGUUGAUGGAUCUAUUACGAUCCGUAUGGAGAGGAAAUAAAAAAUAAAUGCUGCCCCAGAUUCCAAACUUUAAAAAAAGGAUGUCAUUUGUUUUUCCUGGCUGUGUGAUGGAGAAAGAAGUGUAACACAAGCUCUGGAAGCAGUCGACAGACAUGGACACAAAGGGGAUGUAGUCCCUGGAUUAGUCCUCCUGUUGACAGAACUCCAUGGAUCCCAGAAAACAAGAACAUGGUAUCUUAGAGGGAGUCAAUGUUUGCCAUAAAAUGAUAAUGGGCCUCAGCCGAGUACAACCACUGAUGUUACUGCUGGAUAAGAGGAGAAGGAAAAAUAUACUACUGAGUGAGUAAUGAGACUUAAAGGUUAAUCAGAGAGUUUAGGGGGCACCUGAUUGCAUCGUAUCCAUCUGAAGGAUAAACUUCAUAAUGUUUUAUCCAUUACAAGGACAAAAAGAGGGCAGAGCUUUAGCAGUUCAACUACAAGAAGAACACCUUCAUAAAACUUUAUUUGGUUUUAUCUGCUGAUUGUUUAGCAGAGGGCAUUUGUUUAUCUCCUGGGAGUCAUCUAACUUGCUAGAGGGCAGGAGGACACUGAUUCCUAAUAUUAUUUCCCUCUUAGCAACAAGAAAAGCAUCCUGGAAAACAUGUUUUAACAACUGGAAGAGUAUCCAGAGGGUACUUUUUAUGGCUUCUCUAUUAGAAGGCUUUCCAGAGAGGAAUCUUUAAUGCUCAAGCUACAGGAAAAUCAUCCAGACUGUGAUAAUUUCAGGUUCAAUCCACUAGAAGGGUUUCCAAAGGGAGUAUUUGUGCUGAAAAUAUCCUAAAGGUGCAAUUUAAUUUACAACAUGCUGUAAGGGCAUCCAGAGGAGACUUCUUAGUGUCAAACCCACUAAGUUGUUUAUUUUAAUGUUAAAUUCACAGAGGAACUUACCGUUUUUUUUAAAGUUAUUUGGAGGGACAUUCAGAGGACGAUUUGUAAUGUUACCAUUACAAGAAGGGCAUCCAGGCAGCACCUUUUAAGGGUUUAUUUAGCAGUAGAGUUUCCAGAGAGACUUUUUAAAGUUAAAUCCACAGGAAGGGCAUCGAGGGGGUGCUUUUUUAAAACACAAAGUACUGAGAGUGAGUCAAAAGGUCACUCUUCUAGGUCCAGUCCACUGGAAGGACAUCCAGUGGGGACUUUUCUUUUUCUAAUAUCUGAUCCACUUGAUGUGUUUUCUGGGUGGGGAUUUUUUAAUGUUGAAGGACAUCCAGGUUGCAUGUUAUGUUAUUUCCAGUAAAAGAUCAUCCUGUUGGUCCUCUGGAAGGGCAUUCAGGAGUCAUUUUGUACUUCAAAACCAUUGAGAAGGAGUUGUCAUUUGCCCAGAGUUGAUUUCUAAUUUCCUCUCCUCUUCUAGAGGGGCAUCUAGAGGAUAAUUAAUUUUUUGUGGGCCACCAGUUGGUCAUCUGAGGUGAAUUUUUAUCUUUGCUGAGACUUUAAGAUUACAGUUUCUUGAUACCAACCCCCUUCUCUAAAUACACAGCUGUCUACAGCGGCUCCCUGUCACUGACUCUCUCUCUCCUCUUAUUCCUUCCUUUUACAACAAGCCCUCCCUGCGCACUACGAUUUUUUAAACACAUUUUAAUAUGAAAAUAAUUGAAGGAAAGUGUUACAAGGGAUUUUGGCACUAACAGCUGACAGCAGUUGCAGUCCUAAGACUCUUUAUGAAGACAUUAAGCUGUCUAAUUACCAGCUGUUGCUUCUCCUCAUUUCAAACGCCUCCUCAAAGUCAUGAGCUGCUAAAGUCUGUGCAGAAGUAAAGAGCCUGAAUGGAGUUUCAUAUUUUACUCGGCUUUAUUGGAUUCUGUGACUGUUUACAUGAAAUGCUUGAUAAACAGGAUGGAAGUGGAUUAAAAGGCAAAACACAAGAUGCAUGUGACAUAACUCAUGAGGGAAUAAAGACAGAAUAAUAGGAACAUUUCAGAUUACUGUGCUGCUUAUUGUUUGUAUGACUUUCCCUGACGCUGUUUGGGUAGUCUGUGCACAUGUUUACAUUUGAGUUUUGAUAAGAUCCCAUCUGAUUAAAAAUUAUGCAUGGUCACUCUACCCAGUGCACCAUAAGCUGUGUAAUAAUAUACAGCAGACAUACUUAAUUCAGCUCAAUGAAACAUAAUAGUUAGAUAGGUUGUGGGAAAAACGGGACUUACGAUAUUAGUUAGAGUAAGACUUCCAUGACUGUGGGGUGAAUAUUGAACUGCAGCCAAGACAACUUUAAUAUCUGAGCACACAGACCGGAAACUUUGUGCUGAGAUAUGUAACAGGGACUUGAGAACUUGGGUUAGAGAUGGUACCAGAGAUGUCCACAGCCAUGUACACCAAACAUGGAGGAUAUGGUCAGUGCUGGUUUGACCUGUAGUUACAUUUUUGGGAUUAACACAGACUUCUGUGCAUAUACAGAUGGUACUACAGUAUGUCAUGGCGUGCGUCAAACACUGAAGUAUAAAGAAGUGAAAAGAGCAGGGCACAUGAUACAGCAGAAAUCUGGUGAUCCUAUUUGGAAAGCAGUUCCUCCAACUUUGGUGCUAUUAUUUUGGACAGUCUGGUGUAAUUUUUCCUGACUUUUUAACCAACAAUUGAUGCUUGUAAAUUCUAAAAAGUUGCUUUCAUUGACAUACAGCAGCUGGGUUUUAUUCAAGUUUAACAUGGUUUAUCAAGUAUGCAAAACCUGUCCAAAAACAUUUCCAAAUCCUUGAAAUUUACUCCAAUAAACUUUUUCCAACCUUUCAUUGUUGCAGGAGUAAAGUGAGUCAUCCUUUACAGCACUGCGAUCAGAGCUCUGUGGUUAAAGAGAAAAAGCACUAUAGCAUUGUGGCGUGCCAAUGGGAAAAACUGCCUUUUGGAUAUGAUGUGUUGCCUGAUCCGGACCAGUCCAGAGAACGGGGAAUAAGAGGAGUUUGGGCUGGGAGAGGAGUGGAAGAAGAAGAGAAAAUAUGGGAGCUAUCAGCACUCACCUCUGCAGAAAAACAGAGCCAUGAUGAAAGCAGAAGGCAGAGAGGAGGGAAAGACUGACAGGCUCCGACAGACGGAGAGUGAAGGUUAAAAUGACAGAGAAGGGGUUCAGCGGGAAGGAGGAGGAGAACUGGACAGCUGGGAUGAAACCAGAGUUACAGACAGGCAGACAGACGUCUCGAAUCAGCAAACAUGAAUUCACCUUUAACACCCAGUUUACCUGGCAACAGCUGAGAAAGAGAUGAGUUAACAAAGAGUCAAGGAAGUGAGCAAAACAAACUCUGUAGAACUUUGACCACCCUUUUCAUUUAUUGUUCAGUUGGAUUAAUGUUAUCAGUGGACUCUGUGUGUCUUUAGAUAUGGUAGAUGAUUUGCCCUCAAAUUCAUACAGUACAAAUGAAAGGCAUUACCAUUAAAAAACACUGAAGCCCUCCACAAUUAUUAAGAAUUAUUAGGGGUCCUUCAGGUGCAGACAGGAUGGAGGCUGCACAAAUAGACUUAGUAUACGUCAAUCAGCUGACAAGUCUGGGAAACUGUCUUAUUUUAAAGUAUUGUAAGCCAAAGAUGAGACCUGGAUUCCAAGUAAUACAUUACAAAUUCAGCUUAUAGAAAAAUAAAAAUGACGAACUUACUAUGUACUUACUGGUUGGGAUUGAAAAAAUACUGAUCCAAGAGACAAAGUUGUCAAAAUACUCAGAACAACACCUCAUCUGAAGA